GAGGAAGGAAGGAAGGAAGGAAGGAAGGAAGGAAGGAAGGAAGGAAGGAAGGAAGGACAGCCAGAGGUGCAAGGCUAUGGAGGAACUCCUCAAGAGGAGAGUCCUCUUUCUGACAUUCUGCUAUGCAAGCAACAUUCAUCUGAACAACAGAUUGACUCAAAACAAAAUUCGAAACCUCUCCUAUGUUUCCUGCUAGUGCAAUGGGUCCAAAACGAAUUUCUACACUGAACAGGAUUAUAUUAAGUUAAAAUGUUCAUAGUGUUCUUUUAGAAAAGAUUUGUCAUCCAGCUUAGUUAAAUAUCAACUGUUCAUGCAAACAUAGUAUGUAUAACAGACACAGAAUUUACUGGAUAUUCAACAGAAAUGUUUUACCAGCUUUUCCAUUUUACAUAAUAAUUCUUUGCUGUUGUUGCUGUUGUUUUCUUAACUAUUCUGGCUCUUCUCUCUGCCUCUACUUUCUUUCUCUCUGAUACCAACAUAACUAAAAUGACUUAUCCCAGCACAGAAACAUGGAGAAAUUUCUCAUUUUGCAAAUUGGUUAUCCUUAUAGCUUGAUUUUUAUUAGAUAUUUUCUUCAUUUACAUUUCAAGUGUUAUUCCCUUUCCUAGUUUUCCCUUUGAAAACCCCCUACCCCUUACUCGCUCCCCCUACUCACCAACCCACCCACUCCCUCUUCCCAGCCCUGGCAGUCCCCUAUACUGGGGCAUAGAACCUUCACAGGACCGAAGGCCUCUCCUCCCAUUGAUGACCGACUAGGCCAUCCUCUGCUAGAAGAACCAUGAGUCCAACCAUGUGUUUUCUUUGAUUGGUGGUUUAGUCCCUGGGAGCUCUGGAUAUACUGGUUAGUUCAUAUUGUUGUUCCUCCUGUGGGGCUGCAAACCCCUUCAGCUCCUUGGGUCCUUUCUCUAGCUCCUUCAUUGGGGACCCUGUGCUUCGUCUAAUGGAUGGCUAUAAGCAUCCACUUCUGUAUUUGUCAGGCACUGGCUGAGCCUCUCAGGAGACCAACAGUUCUGGUUUCAGCACCUAAUACAUGUAUCACGAAUAAAGAUUUUAAUUGAAAAUUAAAUGGAUUAUCAUUAAUCCUCGCACAGAGAUCACAUGCACUGUUAUUCUCCUUCUCGAUCACUGUGUAGCUCCUCCAGAGAUAUUAUCUAACAAGCUGGGCUGACCACCACUUAAUUUGAAUAUUGAGGCUAAAAGAGUUUGGAGUUCUCCGUGAUUCAGUGAUUUAAGAGCAGUUUACCACACCACCAAAGGAAACUAAGCACAAGGUUUAUAUGCUGGCUUGGUUGCUGGGACCCACCAUUUAUUUCAUGAAAAGAUACCAUAUGUUCUUUCUGUUUCUUGCCAUGGGGUAAAUUAAAAGGUACAUUGAUCUUUUAACGUCUGUGCAAAUGUGGUUUUGAUGGCAGGGCCCCAUUUACCUUGUCAAGAUUGUCUUCUCUGCUCUGAGUUCCAAGUGGGAGGUAGACGUGUUUUUCUGUGAAGGACCAUUCUGAACAAUGACUUAACUAUUAGUAAGCAUAAAUGGCAAUUUUAACUUUGGCAUGAGGCCUCAACGCACUGUAUUUUUUCUUUAAUGUUAUUUCUUUCAAUGCUUUUGAGUUAAAAUUAUUCCCUUGAUAAUAAGGGGAUCUGCUUAAGUGUAUAUACAAUGAAAACUUUUGCUGGGAUUAAAUACAGGGAAUAUGAAACAAAAGGCCAAACUAUGUGUUAAGCCAGGAAAACAUUCUUCUCAGAAAUAAAUUUGGCUAAAUUGCCACUUUCCGCCCCUACAAAGCAUUUUCUUCCUAGUUGAGGAAUUGAGGACACGUGAUAAAUUGCUGACGCUUAGCCAUUGGGUUUCUCCUGGAAGAGCAUUGUUAAUUUCUGAUAACUUUCAUAUCUAAGAUAAAUGCUUACAAAACUAAAGACUUUCUCUAAACUAAUGUUUGAUCUCAUAUGAUUAAAAGAUCUGUAAACCAGCUCUUUCCUGAGAACUCAGAACAAGUGGUUUCAUGUGAAGAUUAAAGUACAAAUAUUGCUGUUAUAAUCCCCACUGUUCCGUGCAUUAUAGCAUUAUGAGCAAGAGAGUCAUUUGAUUGCAUUUGCUAAUUUUAUUCAGAAAUUAAGGGUUUAUGUCGCUCCUCUCGUUCUGCCUAUGAGGAUAAUCCCACCACCAUCUUUCCCUCAUGUUACUUAUAUGCUAUUUAAAGCUAAGCCCAUAUGAUCAUUGACUCUGUGA
Molecule: long non-coding RNA, 2224 nt
Filed under: Mus musculus (house mouse)
Lineage: Eukaryota; Metazoa; Chordata; Mammalia; Rodentia; Muridae
Description: long non-coding RNA chr7:91908062-91910286
Source: RNAcentral